GCCGGCAUAGCUCAGUUGGUAGAGCAGCUGAUUUGUAAUCAGAAGGUCGUGGGUUCGAUUCCUAUUGCCGGCACCA
RNAcentral lists this transfer RNA (76 nucleotides) under Pseudomonas sp. Its description in RNAcentral is "tRNA-Thr". It matches the Rfam family "tRNA". Rfam says of the family: Transfer RNA (tRNA) molecules are approximately 80 nucleotides in length. Their secondary structure includes four short double-helical elements and three loops (D, anti-codon, and T loops). The record is from RNAcentral. RNAcentral also lists the same sequence under 33 other names. Lineage: Bacteria; Pseudomonadati; Pseudomonadota; Gammaproteobacteria; Pseudomonadales; Pseudomonadaceae.